Molecule: unclassified non-coding RNA, 617 nt
Filed under: Hevea brasiliensis (rubber tree)
Lineage: Eukaryota; Viridiplantae; Streptophyta; Magnoliopsida; Malpighiales; Euphorbiaceae
Source: RNAcentral
CUUCUCCUAUGCUUUCUGAAUAUACUUUUGUUUUCAUGGGGGAAUUGAACUGUAAAUCCUCUUUUGCUAAUUUGAAGUCAUUAGUCACUUGUUCUCUAGUCAGUAUUAUGUGUCCUUAUGGUGAUGUGUUUCUUUUACGUCUUCUUUAACUUUGAUUGGACAGACUUUUGCUGAUGCUCUUAUGGUUGUUGACAAGAUCUCCCUUGAUGAUGACUUCUUUGAGAUCGGUGGCAAUUCUCUAUUAGCAGCUCAUGUCUCCUAUAAUCUAGGAAUCAAUAUGAAGGACUUGUAUGCUUUUCCAACUCCAUUGAAACUUCAGAAGGCCAUUCAACUUAAAAAAGUGUCCUCUAGCCGUGAACUUAGAGCUGAUGCUUUAGUGGGAGUGAACUCGCAAGAGCAAGAGAAAAGCAAGCUUCCUUCUAAUAAAUCUUGGAUGCCUGGUGCAGAUAACAGUACCGCUUUGAGUUUGACCAGUGAUUAUCCCGUUAAACGUUUGAAAACAGAUUCAGAUUUGUAUAUUGAUUCCAACGAUGCUAAUGGAAGAGAUAUGAAUAAUUCAACUUCUUCACAGGUUUCAUGUUCUUACAGUCGGUGCAACAAAAUAAGGCAUGAUGCUG